Molecule: ribosomal RNA, 242 nt
Filed under: uncultured bacterium
Lineage: Bacteria
Description: partial 16S ribosomal RNA
Rfam family: Bacterial small subunit ribosomal RNA
Source: RNAcentral
UACAGAGGGUGCGAGCGUUGUCCGGAAUCACUGGGCGUAAAGGGCGCGUAGGCGGCCUGAUAAGUAGGGGGUGAAAUCCUGUGGCUUAACUGCAGGGCUGCCUCCUAGACUGUUAGGCUCGAGCACGGUAGAGGCAGAUGGAAUUCCCGGUGUAGCGGUGGAAUGCGUAGAGAUCGGGAAGAACAUCGGUGGCGAAGGCAGCCCCCUGGGUCAAGAUUGACGCUCAUGCACGAAAGGCGUGG